GACGAACGCUGGCGGCGUGCUUAACACAUGCAAGUCGAACGGAAAGGCCCUGCUUUUGUGGGGUGCUCGAUUGGCGAACGGGUGAGUAACACGUGAGUAACCUGCCCUUGACUUUGGGAUAACUUCAGGAAACUGGGGCUAAUACCGGAUAGGAGCUCCUGCUGCAUGGUGGGGGUUGGAAAGUUUCGGCGGUUGGGGAUGGACUCGCGGCUUAUCAGCUUGUUGGUGGGGUAGUGGCUUACCAAGGCUUUGACGGGUAGCCGGCCUGAGAGGGUGACCGGCCACAUUGGGACUGAGAUACGGCCCAGACUCCUACGGGAGGCAGCAGUGGAGAAUAUUGCAGAAUGGGCGGAAGCCUGAUGCAGCAACGCCGCGUGCGGGAUGACGGCCUUCGGGUUGUAAACAGAUUUCGACUGUGACGAAGCGUGAGUGACGGUAAUGGGUAAAGAAGCAACGGCUAACUACGUG
Molecule: ribosomal RNA, 468 nt
Filed under: uncultured bacterium
Lineage: Bacteria
Description: partial 16S ribosomal RNA
Rfam family: Bacterial small subunit ribosomal RNA
Source: RNAcentral